This 371-nucleotide ribosomal RNA is filed under the name uncultured bacterium. Its description in RNAcentral is "bacterial SSU rRNA". It matches the Rfam family "Bacterial small subunit ribosomal RNA", at positions 525 to 896 of the family's 1533-position model. The record is from RNAcentral.
ACGUAGGGUGCAAGCGUUAAUCGGAAUUACUGGGCGUAAAGCGUGCGCAGGCGGUUUUGUAAGUCUGUUGUGAAAUCCCCGGGCUCAACCUGGGAAUGGCAAUGGAGACUGCAAGGCUAGAGUUUGGCAGAGGGGGGUAGAAUUCCACGUGUAGCAGUGAAAUGCGUAGAGAUGUGGAGGAACACCGAUGGCGAAGGCAGCCCCCUGGGUCAAGACUGACGCUCAUGCACGAAAGCGUGGGGAGCAAACAGGAUUAGAUACCCUGGUAGUCCACGCCCUAAACGAUGUCUACUAGUUGUUGGGUCUUAAUUGACUUAGUAACGCAGCUAACGCGUGAAGUAGACCGCCUGGGGAGUACGGUCGCAAGAUUA